This 467-nucleotide ribosomal RNA is filed under the name uncultured bacterium. RNAcentral's name for it is "partial 16S ribosomal RNA". It matches the Rfam family "Bacterial small subunit ribosomal RNA", at positions 339 to 795 of the family's 1533-position model. The record is from RNAcentral.
CUACGGGAGGCAGCAGUGGGGAAUAUUGGACAAUGGGGGAAACCCUGAUCCAGCAAUGCCGCGUGUGUGAAGAAGGCCUGCGGGUUGUAAAGCACUUUCGGUUGGGAGGACUGCUUCUAGCACUAAUAUUGUUGGAAGUUGACGUUACCUUCAGAAGAAGCACCGGCUAACUCCGUGCGCAGCAGCCGCGGUAAUACGGAGGGUGCAAGCGUUUAAUCGGAAUUACUGGGCGUAAAGCGCGCGUAGGCGGCUAGAUCAGUCGGGUGUGAAAGCCCCGGGCUUAACCUGGGAACUGCAUCCGAUACUGUCUAGCUUGAGUACAGGAGAGGAGAGUGGAAUUCCACAUGUAGCGGUGAAAUGCGUAGAUAUGUGGAGGAACACCAAUGGCGAAGGCAGCUCUCUGGCCUGAUACUGACGCUGAGGUGCGAAAGCGUGGGGAGCAAACAGGAUUAGAUACCCCAGUAGUC